This 253-nucleotide ribosomal RNA is filed under the name uncultured bacterium. RNAcentral's name for it is "partial 16S ribosomal RNA". It matches the Rfam family "Bacterial small subunit ribosomal RNA", at positions 524 to 776 of the family's 1533-position model. The record is from RNAcentral.
UACGUAGGGUGCGAGCGUUGUCCGGAAUUACUGGGCGUAAGGAGCUCGUAGGUGGUUUGUCGCGUUGUCCGUGAAAACUCACAACUCAAUUGUGGGCGUGCGGGCGAUACGGGCAGACUGGAGUACUGCAGGGGAGACUGGAAUUCCUGGUGUAGCGGUGGAAUGCGCAGAUAUCAGGAGGAACACCGGUGGCGAAGGCGGGUCUCUGGGCAGUAACUGACGCUGAGGAGCGAAAGCGUGGGGAGCGAACAGG